This 253-nucleotide ribosomal RNA is filed under the name uncultured bacterium. Its description in RNAcentral is "partial 16S ribosomal RNA". It matches the Rfam family "Bacterial small subunit ribosomal RNA", at positions 524 to 776 of the family's 1533-position model. The record is from RNAcentral.
UACGUAGGGCGCAAGCGUUGUCCGGAAUCAUUGGGCGUAAAGAGCGUGUAGGCGGCCACUUAAGUCCUGCGUGAAAUCUUGCGGCUCAACCGCAAGCGGUCGUGGGAAACUGGGUGGCUAGAGUGCGGGAGAGGAGAGUGGAAUUCCUGGUGUAGCGGUGGAAUGCGCAGAUAUCAGGAAGAACACCCGUGGCGAAGGCGGCUCUCUGGAACGCAACUGACGCUGAGACGCGAAAGCGUGGGGAGCAAACAGG